RNAcentral lists this ribosomal RNA (461 nucleotides) under uncultured bacterium. Its description in RNAcentral is "bacterial SSU rRNA". It matches the Rfam family "Bacterial small subunit ribosomal RNA", at positions 29 to 507 of the family's 1533-position model. The record is from RNAcentral.
AGUGAACGCUGGCGGCGUGCCUAACACAUGCAAGUCGAACGAUGAUGGAGGAGCUUGCUCUUCCUGAUUAGUGGCGCACGGGUGAGUAACGCAUAGGUAAUGUGCCCCUUAGUCUGGGAUAGCCACUGGAAACGGUGAUUAAUACUAGAUACUCCUUCUCAUUAUAAGAUGAGUCGGGAAAGUUUUUCGCUAAGGGAUCAGCCUAUGUCCUAUCAGCUAGUUGGUGAGGUAACGGCUCACCAAGGCAAUGACGGGUAUCUGGUUUGAGAGGAUGAUCAGACACACUGGAACUGAGACACGGUCCAGACUCCUACGGGAGGCAGCAGUGAGGAAUAUUGCACAAUGGAGGAAACUCUGAUGCAGCAACGCCGCGUGGAGGAUGACGCAUUUCGGUGUGUAAACUCCUUUUAAGAGGGAAGAUUAUGACGGUACCUCUUGAAUAAGCACCGGCUAACUCCGUG